RNAcentral lists this transfer RNA (70 nucleotides) under Thelepus plagiostoma. Its description in RNAcentral is "tRNA-Ser". Lineage: Eukaryota; Metazoa; Annelida; Polychaeta; Terebellida; Terebellidae. The record is from RNAcentral.
GAGAUACAACUGGUGUUGGUAAAGCCUUCUAAGCUUCUUUCCAAGGGGGUUCAAUUCCCUCCUUAUCUCU